UUCACAUAUUCUGCAUAUGCACCAGGGUGUCUAGCACCUAUAACAGUGAGUUCUUCACAGCGUGAUAGUUCACCUUUUUGACAGCUUGCGCAUCUACCACAAUAAAAAGUUGGACA
This 116-nucleotide antisense RNA is filed under the name Virgibacillus necropolis. RNAcentral's name for it is "Listeria sRNA rli30". It matches the Rfam family "Listeria sRNA rli30". Rfam says of the family: Coevolved with internalin gene lmo2445. Paired with CDS partners lmo0501 and lmo0508. Lineage: Bacteria; Bacillati; Bacillota; Bacilli; Caryophanales; Bacillaceae. The record is from Rfam by way of RNAcentral.